UUCUGGUUGAUCCCGCCGGACCCGACUGCUAUUUGGGUGAGGAUAAGCCAUGCGAGUCGAAUGGGAUACCUAAAAUUCCCAUGGCGAACUGCUCAGUAACACAUGAUCAACUUACCCUAUAGAGAAAAAUAAUCUCGGGAAACUGAGGAUAAUGCUUCAUAGUUGAAUUGGCUUGGAAAAGUUUUUCAAUGAAAAGAAUAAAGAAAAUGGUCUUUAUUUGCUAUAGGAUAGGAUCGUGUUCGAUUAUGGUUGUUGGUGAGGUAAUGGCUCACCAAGCCGAUAAUCGAUAGGGGCCGUGAGAGCGGGAGCCCCGAGAUGGGUACUGAGACAACGACCCAGGCCUUACGAGGCGCGGCAGGCGCGGAACCUCCGCAAUACACGAAAGUGUGACGGGGUUACC
This 400-nucleotide ribosomal RNA is filed under the name uncultured archaeon. Its description in RNAcentral is "bacterial SSU rRNA". It matches the Rfam family "Archaeal small subunit ribosomal RNA", at positions 1 to 380 of the family's 1478-position model. The record is from RNAcentral.